CAAUAGCGUAUAUUAAAGUUGUUGCGGUUAAAAAGCUCGUAGUUGGAUUUCUGCUGAGAACGACCGGUCCGCCCUUUGGGUGUGUAUCUGGCUCUUUCUUGGCAUCUUCUUGGUGAACGUUGCUGCACUUGACUGUGUGGAGCGCUACCCAGGACUUUUACUUUGAGGAAAUUAGAGUGUUUCAAGCAGGCAUACGCCUUGAAUACAUUAGCAUGGAAUAAUAAGAUAGGACCUCGGUUCUAUUUUGUUGGUUUCUAGAGCUGAGGUAAUGAUUAAUAGGGAUAGUUUGGGGCAUUCGUAUUUAACUGUCAGAGGUGAAAUUCUUGGAUUUGUUAAAGACGGACUACUGCGAANGNAUUUGCNAAGGAUGUUUNCAUUG
RNAcentral lists this ribosomal RNA (379 nucleotides) under uncultured eukaryote. RNAcentral's name for it is "partial 18S ribosomal RNA". It matches the Rfam family "Eukaryotic small subunit ribosomal RNA", at positions 592 to 975 of the family's 1831-position model. The record is from RNAcentral.